RNAcentral lists this ribosomal RNA (591 nucleotides) under uncultured bacterium. Its description in RNAcentral is "bacterial SSU rRNA". It matches the Rfam family "Bacterial small subunit ribosomal RNA", at positions 338 to 921 of the family's 1533-position model. The record is from RNAcentral.
CCUACGGGAGGCAGCAGUGGGGAAUAUUGCACAAUGGGCGCAAGCCUGAUGCAGCCAUGCCGCGUGUAUGAAGAAGGCCUUCGGGUUGUAAAGUACUUUCAGCGAGGAGGAAGGCAUUAAGGUUAAUAACCUUGGUGAUUGACGUUACUCGCAGAAGAAGCACCGGCUAACUCCGUGCCAGCAGCCGCGGUAAUACGGAGGGUGCGAGCGUUAAUCGGAGUUACUGGGCGUAAAGCGCACGCAGGCGGUCUGUCAAGUCGGAUGUGAAAUCCCCGGGCUCAACCUGGGAACUGCAUUCGAAACUGGCAGGCUAGAGUCUUGUAGAGGGGGGUAGAAUUCCAGGUGUAGCGGUGAAAUGCGUAGAGAUCUGGAGGAAUACCGGUGGCGAAGGCGGCCCCCUGGACAAAGACUGACGCUCAGGUGCGAAAGCGUGGGGAGCGAACAGGAUUAGAUACCCUGGUAGUCCACGCCGUAAACGAUGUCGACUUGGAGGUUGUGCCCUUGAGGCGUGGCUUCCGGAGCUAACGCGUUAAGUCGACCGCCUGGGGAGUACGGCCGCAAGGUUAAAACUCAAAUGAAUUGAAUUGACGG